This 1777-nucleotide long non-coding RNA is filed under the name Rhinolophus ferrumequinum (greater horseshoe bat). Its description in RNAcentral is "lncRNA (ENSRFEG00010008017.1)". The record is from RNAcentral. Lineage: Eukaryota; Metazoa; Chordata; Mammalia; Chiroptera; Rhinolophidae.
UCUUAUUUUUCCUUACGUCACAGUUGAGAAAGCUGGGGCACAGAGAGGUUAGUUAGGUAAAGUGCCCAAAGUCGCACAGAAAGGAAAUAGUAGAAAUAAGAUCCAAACCUAGGCAGUCUGAUUUUUAAGCCUGCUCUCAGAAUCGCAGCAUCAUACAGCAAGGCAAACCAUAGAUAAGGGGACUGAGAAGCAGAACACCGGCUAAGUUGCUCUUUGCUGUGCAAUCACUAAGACGAGCACCCAUGGUCAGUCGAGGUUUUUGUGACGCUCUCAGGUUGGGCUCCUUUCCUCACAGAUCCUGCCUCAACAACGGACCGUGUCCAUUUAACGGAGGAAAAGCCCCACCACUCAUGGUGUUUAAGGCUGGCCGUGCCCCAGGACCAAACGUUCCUGCUCCCAAAGCGAGAGGCAUGGUGAUAGGGCACCACUACACAGAGGUGGGUCCCCCCGUGCCUGAGCCUUCCCCUGAGAAAAGGUACUCAGUAAUGAAGACUCUAUUGAGCCAUGUGGAUUUAGUCUCCAGCCUGCACAACAGAUCCCCAACCACAGGCAUGGAUAUCCCGAGGAAAGGAGCACAGGGUGACAAGAUGAGGCAAGAGGCUGCCUGUCCCCAGCCAGAUCUCAUGACCCAACCACACAGUGGGAAGAGGACUGUGUGAAAUUGCUGAAGCAAUCCAAAGUGAAAGAAAAACGUGAGAACUCGCCCGGACAUAAGGUUUUACUGACUGAAGAAAAGCUGCAAAGCCACACAGGCCCGUGAUGUUUUCCCGGCAGCACCGUGAUUCUCUCUCUCCAGGAAAAGGCCCCUGUAGGAGGCCUUGCUUGCUCUCUGCCCAGUGAUUUAUCUGAACUGAAUCUCAGUUACUAGCUCUCGUUUUCAAAGACCUCAGAUCCAGAAGAGUCUUUGCAGACCAUUUGCCAAGGGCCUCCCGGCUGCUUCCCCUGUGUCUGUGUUAUUCCCACUUGCGUUAUGUGUGUGGGGCCCAAAAUUAUUUUUUCCAGCAGAUGGGUCAUACUGCUCCUUUAAAAAUGAAAGUGAGAGAGAGAGAGAGACUACACCAAAUCUAGAAUUAAGGCAGGGUCUCGUGAUUUACAGAGUACCAGGGUGUGUAGGGGUGGUUUCUACAACUCCAUAGGCAAAACUUACCUUUAUAAAAACACAGUGGCUUAUACACACCCUUGCGAAACACUCAGAGCAGAAGAGUCAAUGCUUCUAAUGAGUGGAGCUAAUAGAAUAUUUUAAUUUGGUUCCCAAUCUUUUACAUAGGAGCUUCCCAAAGUAUCUACUUUGCACAUAUCCUGGCCAACCCAGAAGUAACCAAAUACAAACAUUUAAUGUAAGGAUGAAGGUUCCUUGGUCUAUAUUUAGAGUCUGCUUGAAAAGUUGAUGCCGCUUGGUCUCCCUGGGGGUCUGAAGCCCUGCCCAAGAUGUACAGUGCUUGCUUGCCGAAAUCUCACUGGAUUUCAGGUCCCCAACCCCAGUGACAGUCCCAUCAAAACACGAAUGUCAUUCUGUGGGAGGGAAGGAAAAAGGUAAAGGGCAGUGGGACAGUAGGCUGGUCAAUCAUCUUAUCAAGGUUACUCAGACGUCAGUGUCUCUGAGGGAUUUCCAGGCCAAAAGGAAUUCUUUUGUGUUUGUUUUACAAUAAUAGUGGCAUUUCCUCAUCUCCCCAGAAAACAUGUGGUUUCCAAAGAGACCAACUGCAUCGAAUGCCGUGUACGAGCUGGACCUAAUGGGUAUAUCGUUUUUUUCCUUACCAGCCUUUUGUUCCCUGCA